This 74-nucleotide transfer RNA is filed under the name Burkholderia ubonensis. RNAcentral describes it as "tRNA-Arg". The record is from RNAcentral. Lineage: Bacteria; Pseudomonadati; Pseudomonadota; Betaproteobacteria; Burkholderiales; Burkholderiaceae.
CAAUCUUGAUCCAAGUGAUGGCGCUCGGCCUUCUAAGCCGUAGGUCACACGUUCGAAUCGUGUAGGGCGGGCCA